Non-coding RNA from Drosophila melanogaster (fruit fly), 689 nucleotides. NCBI's taxonomy places the organism in Eukaryota, Metazoa, Arthropoda, Insecta, Diptera, Drosophilidae. The record is from Ensembl.
AUUUAUUACCAGUUUACUGGAUCACUCGUGAAUUCCGGAACGACACCGUGACGCUCAGAAACGCGGCGCAAACCCCAGAGUGGAUUUGCAGGUUUAUGUUGCAGUUUACGGCUGACCGGACUCGUAUAUGACGAAAUUCGCGCAGCGCAGCAAAAAGACGUGCGAAAUACGCGGGAACUCCAUUUAGGACCCUGUGUGUUUCCGUGUGUGUGUGUGCGGUUGCGGGUACUGGUGAGUGUGAGUAAUAUUCCGCAGCCAGGAUUUGCAUAAAGCUCACCUCAGACGAGCGCCUUAACUUUAACAUUCAGGAGACAGUUUCAUAAACACCCGAAUCGCUGUGGAUGAGACACAAGCCGUUUUAGCAACAGCUGAUGACACGUUUGGGGGCGCCCCAAAAUGAAGCGCAGGAUAAACACGGCGGGGAUGAGAGAUCGAAAGGUCAAAGUGCGUUGCAUACGUGAGUGGUUCGAACGGAUUGCGAAAAGCCCACCGAACUCGAGGACCCUACUUCGCAGCUCUAACGAGCAGCACCACUUCAGAGCCCAUUUCGAGCUGAUAGUAAUCCCACUAACGAUGUACUUCAAAAAUAAUCAAGUUGCGAAACGGGUUUGUUAAAUUGUGAGCGUGCAUAAAAAUGAAAGAGAAAAUGUAGUUUUAACCAUAUGGAAAUACAAAUGUAUAUAUAACUU